Quercus robur (English oak) is the source of this 1337-nucleotide RNA transcript. RefSeq lists it as uncharacterized. The transcript is spliced from 5 exons. Lineage: Eukaryota; Viridiplantae; Streptophyta; Magnoliopsida; Fagales; Fagaceae. The record is from RefSeq and is a predicted model, not a curated record.
AAACAGAUAAGAGGAAAGAGUAGAGGGUAGGAAGGAAACAGCAAAUAUAAUGGAGGGAAGUGUUAGGGUGAGGUUAAUUUGUAAUAUCUGUGAAGCAGGAAGUCGAAGUCCAUUACUUACUAUUAAAGAAUCAUCAUCGUCAUCAUUAUUAUGGUCACGGAGGUGGUGGAUGAGGAAUGGCAAGGCAAACGGAAAUGGAGUAUCAAAAAAGAGAGGAAUGAGUAGUAUGAUUAAGGCAGAAAGGAAAGAGAGAGAGAGAGAGAUCUCAGAAAUAAGGGUUUGCACGAACCGGACAUGUCGCAGGCAAGGCUCCCUGGAAACCUUAGAAACGCUCUUGGCUCUUGCUCCUCCAAACCUGACCGUCAAGUCCUGUGGCUGCUUGGGCCGUUGUGGCUCAGGCCCUAACCUAGUGGCUCUACCCAAUCCAGUUAUAGUCGGACACUGUGGUACACCUGCUCGAGCUGCCCACAUCAUGGUCCAAUUAUUAUUAUGCGGUGGAGAUGAUGAUUCAUCGGUGGCCAGGCUGAGUCUGGAAGCUUUAGCAUUGAGCAAGAGUGCCCAGAAUGAGUUCUCACAGGCUAAUUUCUCCCAGGCAGACCUCCUGCUCUCACAGGCCAUCAAUUUAAAACCAUUUGGUGCUAUCCAUAUUUUGUAUUUGGACAGGUCUCGUGCAAGGUUAGCGUUGGGAAAUUAUUCAGGGGCUCUUGAAGAUGCCAGAGAAGCUUUGAAUUUUGCUCCUCACUAUCCUCAGGCUUAUAUCUGCCUGGGUGAUGCUUUCUUAGCUAUGGACCAGUUUGAUUCAGCUGAGAGUUCAUAUUUAACAUCUUUGCAUAUAGAUCCUUCAGUUCGUCAUUCCAAAUCAUUCAAGACUUUGCAGUCUCACGCAUAAUUAAGCUUACUACCAGCCAAUGGAAUUAGUAUGAAAGGACUGAAAAUUAUUCAAAAUGGAAAGCUGCAUUUGAACUCUUCAAGCAAGUUCCAGCUCGGAUUGCAAAGCUUCAGGAGAAACUUGCUGCUGCUAACAUGUCUUGAGAUUUGCAAUGUGACUGAAUUUACAUUUGAAUCAAUUACAAUAUACAAAAAUAAGCGAGGCAAUGUGCUAUUUCCAGGUGAAAGCUUAUAGCUUUAAUACCCUUUAACCUUUUUGCCAAAAUAUGAUUUCACGCAUACCUAUUUUCUAUUUUGAAGCACUAUGAAAUUCUGUAGUGCUCUAUUUCACAAUCAGUUAAAACGAAUAAGAUACAUGUAGGUUGUGUUUGGAUGGCAACAUUUGGAUUUGGAUUUGAAAUUCAUUAAUUUGAAAUCCCUUUAUUUGAAAUCCAUUAAUUUUAAAAUUC